This 325-nucleotide ribosomal RNA is filed under the name uncultured eukaryote. RNAcentral's name for it is "partial 18S ribosomal RNA". It matches the Rfam family "Eukaryotic small subunit ribosomal RNA", at positions 1470 to 1796 of the family's 1831-position model. The record is from RNAcentral.
CCCUUAGAUGUCCUGGGCCGCACGCGCGCUACACUGAUGCAUUCAACGAGUAUUUCCUUGGCCGAGAGGCCUGGGCAAUCUUUUAAACCUGCAUCGUGAUAGGGAUAGAUUAUUGCAAUUAUUAAUCUCGAACGAGGAAUUCCUAGUAAACGCAAAUCAUCAAUUUGCAUUGAUUACGUCCCUGCCCUUUGUACACACCGCCCGUCGCACCUACCGAUUGAAUGGUCCGGUGAAAUCUCGGGAUUGUGGCCAGUUCACUUUAUUGGGAGUUGGCUGCGAGAACUUGCUUAAACCUUAUCAUUUAGAGGAAGGUGAAGUCGUAACA